GAUGAACGCUGGCGGCGUGCCUAAUACAUGCAAGUCGAGCGAACAGACGAGGAGCUUGCUCCUCUAACGUUAGCGGCGGACGGGUGAGUAACACGUGGAUAACCUACCUAUAAGACUGGGAUAACUUCGGGAAACCGGAGCUAAUACCAGAUAAUAUAUUGAACCGCAUGGUUCAAUAGUGAAAGACGGUUUUGCUGUCACUUAUAGAUGGAUCCGCGCCGCAUUAGCUAGUUGGUAAGGUAACAGCUUACCAAGGCAACGAUGCGUAGCCGACCUGAGAGGGUGAUCGGCCACACUGGAACUGAGACACGGUCCAGACUCCUACGGGAGGCAGCAGUAGGGAAUCUUCCGCAAUGGGCGAAAGCCUGACGGAGCGACGCCGCGUGAGUGAUGAAGGUCUUCGGAUCGUAAAACUCUGUUAUUAGGGAAGAACAAAUGUGUAAGUAACUAUGCACGUCUUGACGGUACCUAAUCAGAAAGCCACGGCUAACUACGUG
RNAcentral lists this ribosomal RNA (497 nucleotides) under uncultured bacterium. RNAcentral's name for it is "partial 16S ribosomal RNA". It matches the Rfam family "Bacterial small subunit ribosomal RNA", at positions 28 to 507 of the family's 1533-position model. The record is from RNAcentral.